Molecule: ribosomal RNA, 301 nt
Filed under: uncultured bacterium
Lineage: Bacteria
Description: partial 16S ribosomal RNA
Rfam family: Bacterial small subunit ribosomal RNA
Source: RNAcentral
CAGUCGCCGCGGUAAUACGUAGGUGGCAAGCGUUGUCCGGAAUUAUUGGGCGUAAAGCGCGCGCAGGUGGUUUAAUAAGUCUGAUGUGAAAGCCCACGGCUCAACCGUGGAGGGUCAUUGGAAACUGUUAAACUUGAGUGCAGGAGAGAAAAGUGGAAUUCCUAGUGUAGCGGUGAAAUGCGUAGAGAUUAGGAGGAACACCAGUGGCGAAGGCGGCUUUUUGGCCUGUAACUGACACUGAGGCGCGAAAGCGUGGGGAGCAAACAGGAUUAGAUACCCCAGUAGUCCCUGUCUCUUAUAA